ACAGCUCAUCUUCACACGCUAACCCUCUCUUUCCUUCCUCCCAUCCAGCCUUUACUAUCCACUUGAUUCCUCUCUCUCUCUCUCCGCCUAUCUUUGAUUCGCUCCCUCAUCUAUCAUAAUCGCCGGGAACCUCUUUUUUUUUUUUUCCGGUGAAACCAAAUGCAACCGAGCCAAGAAACUCAAUUCCAUAACCAUUCCCAGUAAAUCUAACAACAGCCCAUUUCUUCUUCUCUUGUUUUCUACAACAAUAAUGUCUGUAUACGAUGGUGCAUUUGUUAACACGGAGCUAUCAAAACCUACAUCAAUCUUUGGUCUCCGUUUAUGGGUAGUCAUAGGAAUCUUAUUGGGCUCAUUAAUAGUUCUUGCCCUCUUUCUCCUCUCUCUUUGCGUUACUUCACGUCGCAAGAACCGACAAUUUAAGCUAACAAAGACAGACACUACCCCUCCAAUCUCUAAAGAGAUUCAAGAAAUCGUGCACUUGCCCGUGCAAGAUCACAAUCACCAUGCGAUUCAGGUGCCGGAGAUCCAGGUUGGGAUCGGGAAGGUGGAGCAUAGAGUGGUGUUUUCGAGUGGGGAGAGUAGAGGGACUGCUAGUGGUGGUGAGACGGCGUCGUUUGGGAGUGGAAGUGUGGGGCCUGAAGUGUCGCAUCUUGGGUGGGGUAGGUGGUAUACUUUGAGAGAGUUGGAGGCUGCUACUGGUGGGUUGUGUGAAGAGAAUGUUAUUGGUGAAGGUGGGUAUGGGAUUGUGUAUCGUGGGGUUUUGAGUGACGGGACUAAAGUUGCUGUUAAAAAUUUGUUGAAUAACAGGGGUCAAGCUGAGAGGGAAUUCAAAGUAGAAGUGGAAGUAAUUGGACGAGUACGGCACAAGAAUCUUGUCAGAUUGCUUGGAUAUUGUGUUGAGGGUGCUUACAGAAUGCUUGUAUACGAGUAUGUUGACAAUGGUAAUCUGGACCAAUGGCUACAUGGUGAUGUUGGAGAAGUCAGCCCGCUAACGUGGGAUAUUCGUAGGAACAUUAUUUUGGGAACAGCAAAAGGAUUGGCCUACCUUCAUGAUGGUCUUGAACCAAAGGUUGUUCAUCGAGAUGUAAAAUCUAGUAACAUAUUACUGGAUCGCCAAUGGAACUCUAAGGUUUCUGAUUUUGGGCUUGCCAAGCUCUUACAUUCUGAGAGAAGUUAUGUCACAACACGUGUGAUGGGAACAUUUGGUUAUGUUGCUCCAGAAUAUGCUUGCACUGGAAUGCUGAAUGAGAAGAGUGAUGUUUAUAGUUUCGGUAUACUUAUCAUGGAGAUAAUUUCUGGGAGAAGCCCUGUUGAUUAUAGUCGGCCACAAGGAGAGGUGAAUCUGGUAGAAUGGUUAAAAACUAUGGUUGGGAACCGAAAAUCUGAAGAAGUGGUUGAUCCCAAGUUACCCGAGAUGCCUGCUUCAAAAGCAUUAAAACGUGCUCUCCUGGUAGCUCUUAAAUGUGUCGAUCCGGAUGCUACAAAGAGGCCCAAAAUGGGACACGUGAUCCACAUGCUUGAGGCUGAUGACUUGCUAUUUCGUGAUGAACGUCGAGUUGGGAGAGAACCUUCCCAUUCACAGCAUGAUUAUGAACAAGAGAAUCAUGCUGCUAUGAAAUUCAUUGAUAAGCAAUCGGGAGAAGGGACUUCAGACACAAGUGAAGGUGAAAGUGGUAGGAAACAUCAUCAGCCAACUAGAUGGAGAUAACAUCAUUGGAGGAUUAGUUUUCCCAGGUGGAAAAUAUGUAAGCAAAGCGACUCACGGCUCCUAUCUGCUUUGGAAUUCUGCGGCAAUCAAUGAAAGGAUGCUUCCUGGUUAAAAUAUACCGAUUGGAUCUAUCACGCUCAUUAAGCACUACAAGACACAUCCAUGUCAGCAGUCCAGUUGUCACCCCAUAAUUUCAAUUGAUCGCUAGCUAGGAAGCAGCCAACAUCUAGUCUGGAAAUGGGGUCAUGCCGUGUGAUUUAUUUAGCCGUCGUUGCCAGAGUACAUGCUUUUGCAUUGUAGCCUAACAAUGAAGCUUGGCAUAAUACCUGUUAAAGUAAAUAGUUUUGGAUGUAUUUGAUGAGUUCAUUUGUCACUUUGCUGCACUUUGCUUUCGGGUUCGUGACUUGGUCUUUAUGAAACAUUCUAACGAAGCAAUCUGUACUGGCGCAAGAUCAUACUUGGUGAAGGCAUUUAUUCGUCCUGUGAUGAUCUAGCGCAGGACCAGUCUAGAGAAAAAAAAAUAAAAAAAAAUGUCAAGCUCGGGGAUUCCACACUUUUUUUGGGCAUGUUUUUAGCUUGGCGUAGGAGCUACUGGUCUCCAUGUCAAUUCGGAAUCCUUCACGUGGCAGGAGCUUCAUUUCUCUCUCUCAUGCCAGUACUAGAAAUGGUUUCAUAUCACUUGUAGGAGGCGACCUGAUACAAUUAACAUUUGUUUGUAUCUUGUGGGGCUGAGAAGCCUGCGUUCAUGAUCACUUUACUGGCGGACGAGCAGAGUUUGUAGGACUACUUUUGGCCAUAAAAUAUUUCAUGAAUCCAGAAUUUGGAUUUAUGAUCAGUAGACCUUUUUAGAGGUGCAAAAUCUUUUUCUGGCCUUUUGUGUGCAAGAUGGGCAAUGUAAGGUGUGAAGAUACACGAUACCUUGCUCAAUUCUCACUCUUCCAGCCCAUUGACCAUAUUAUUCUUGUUCAGAAGCUUUUGAAGGGGCAAGUCUAGAAUAGAAUGCCUGUGUACUGUCAGGGCCAUCACCAGUCUUCAUCUUGAAGGACGAAACAUCUUCAUAGCAUACCAGGCGGUUCAAUGGAGUUUAUUCGACUUGUGUGGACUAGACUCAUGUUUUGAGCCCAAUUUCCAGCGCCGUUGGGUAUCCAUUAUCCAUCACAGCAGCCUGUAAUCAUAUUAGAAUUCAUUGCAGUAACCAGUCAGAAUGUUCUGAUAUAUGUAUGAACCCCGUGCUUGUAUCGAUUCUCUCAAGAAUCCAAGUGAAUGAGCCUGGUCUGUAGUGUAAAGCAAGGAGCGUAGCAGCACCCUUUAAUUUCUAGCUGGCUCCUGUGUGGUUCGAGUUCUUUGGCGGCCGAGUCCAUUCGGGAGCCCUUUGCAAUUUUAGCAUUAGCCAUCUGUACCUGGGCCGAGCCUUUUCCUCUGGCGACUACCUCAAGGAAAUCUUCUUGGAUCCAUUCCCCCACAGGGAAAGAAAGUAUCCAAAUAUAUAAUAUUGUGGUCGGCAAACGAGGUCCAGAUAGGAACGACAACCAGGGCAAUUUCGUGUGGUUAGAAGCAAGGAUCUUGUCCGUUGGAUCACAUGUUCCAUGCAUUAAAUAUAAAGUAAAAUCAAGCUUGAAUUUACUUCCCUGUCUCUGACCCACCAUUUCUGCUCACAAAAAUGCCAGUAAGUAAUCUCCAAA
RNA transcript from Populus nigra (black poplar), 3390 nucleotides. It is a transcript of the gene named probable serine/threonine-protein kinase At1g01540, with no coding region annotated. The transcript is spliced from 11 exons. Lineage: Eukaryota; Viridiplantae; Streptophyta; Magnoliopsida; Malpighiales; Salicaceae. The record is from RefSeq and is a predicted model, not a curated record.